RNAcentral lists this ribosomal RNA (229 nucleotides) under uncultured Streptococcus sp. RNAcentral's name for it is "partial 16S ribosomal RNA". It matches the Rfam family "Bacterial small subunit ribosomal RNA", at positions 1156 to 1382 of the family's 1533-position model. The record is from RNAcentral. Lineage: Bacteria; Bacillati; Bacillota; Bacilli; Lactobacillales; Streptococcaceae.
UAAUAAACCGGAGGAAGGUGGGGAUGACGUCAAAUCAUCAUGCCCCUUAUGACCUGGGCUACACACGUGCUACAAUGGUUGGUACAACGAGUUGCGAGUCGGUGACGGCGAGCUAAUCUCUUAAAGCCAAUCUCAGUUCGGAUUGUAGGCUGCAACUCGCCUGCAUGAAGCCGGAAUCGCUAGUAAUCGCGGAUCAGCAUGCCCGCGGUCCGAAUACGUUCCGGGCCUU